Molecule: non-coding RNA, 28 nt
Filed under: Mus musculus (house mouse)
Lineage: Eukaryota; Metazoa; Chordata; Mammalia; Rodentia; Muridae
Source: RNAcentral
UAUCAAAACAUGGACAUAAAAGAUAUUU